AUGGAGGGGUGGUUCAGCUUGUGUUUCAUUGCACUAGGCACACCGCUUGCCCUUUGGCUUCUCAAGCUCGCCGGCGCCGGCGGCAAGAACAAGCCACACAAGCACCAGCUGCCGCCAGGGCCAUGGACACUCCCGAUAAUCGGCAGCCUCCACCACGUCGUUAGCCUCGUCCCACACCGGCAAAUCACGCAGCUGUGUCGCCGAUAUGGGCCAAUGAUGCACCUGAAGCUAGGCGAGGUCGACGCCGUGGUGGUCUCCAGCGCCGAGGCGGUGGCGCAGGUGAUGAAGACCAACGACCUCGCGUUCUCCACCAGGCCAGGCACGCAGAUGCAGGACAUCGCCGGCUAUGGCGGCAGGGGCAUCAUCUUCGCCCCCUAUGGCGACCACUGGCGCCAGAUGCACAAGGUUUGCAUUGUGGAGCUGCUCAGCUCCAUGCAGGUCAGGCGCAUGGAGAGCAUCCGGCCAGAGGAGGUUGGCAACCUCCUGGCCGACAUCGCCACUGCUGCGGCGGCCGGCGACAGCAUCAACAUCAGCAAGAAGAUGAUGGAGGUCAGCAACAAUGUCAUGUCGCGGGCGGUGUUCGGCGGCAGGUUCACGCAGCAGGACGAGUACAUCCGCGAGUUAGACGUGGUGCUCACCCUGCUAGGCGGCUUCUGCCUCGUCGACCUCUUCCCAUUGUUGCGGUUGGCGCGGUGGCUCAGCUUCGGCGCACGGCGCAUGAAGAGGAGCUACAGCAACAUGCAAUGCAUCAUCGUCAAUGUGAUCGAGGAGCGCAAGGCCGCGCGAGCUGCUGGUGAUGGCGCCUCAAGCACCCACGACGAGGACCUACCGGACGUGCUGCUCAGGCUACAGAAGGAUGAUUCGUUGGCAUUUCCUCUAACCACAGAGAGCAUAUGCGCCGUCUUAUUUGUGAGUAUUUUUAACAAAAGAAACUUUUUUUUACUGCUAGCUGAUGCAAACAACGGCACAAAUUUUGCAUAUGACACGAGAUAG
This 993-nucleotide ribosomal RNA is filed under the name Triticum aestivum (bread wheat). RNAcentral describes it as "partial small subunit ribosomal RNA". Lineage: Eukaryota; Viridiplantae; Streptophyta; Magnoliopsida; Poales; Poaceae. The record is from RNAcentral.